CAGCAGGGUUUGGCAUCAGCCUUUGGCUUCUGGAAAGUGGAGACUGAACAGUCCCUUCUGCACUUGACCCUGAAGCUUCAUUUACCAAAGCCUGAUUUUAACCUUGACCCAAACUUCUGCCUUGCUGCAAAUGUGAAGAGGGAAUCUCUUCCCAGCCCAGGAAAGGCUCAAAUACCGAUAUCCUUCCUACACCCUAAGGAGAUUUCAGCAAUCCCCGAGGUGUUCAGAUGGCCCAUUAGACAGUGCAUUAGGGCUGGGCAGGUGACUUUUAGUUGGACUGGUCAGCUGAAGAUCUAAGGCUGAGGUCAGAUUAGGCUGCCUGAGUUGAAGCUAAUGAGCUGGGAGACAGCCGGGGGAGUGGAAGUCAAAAAUCAAUAACCUGGGAAGAGCUGAUUCUUUUCCACGUGCCACUCAUGUAUUUACUGACUCUGUGCAGAGAAUAGGGAAGUUUUAGGAACUUCUUCUAGUGCUUGGUGUUGAACCCCUGGUUGUUCUCUUCCCAGUUUUCUCUCCCAGAGUUCGGGUGCGAUUCACACCUUGUGCAUCCUCCCAGAGCAUCAUGUUUUCUCCUGAAAAGGCAUCCUGUGCCUGGCCCUCAUGUAACUAGGCUGAACAUAUGGACCAACUUGCAGCAAAAAGCACUUCUCCCACCCAGCCAUGCUCGUUGUGUGUGUGCCUGUCUCUGGCUCCAUGGCUUUGUCACAUGUGUGUGCACAUUCUUCUCUGCAUAUGGCAGCUCCAGUGCUGGGACCAGGCUCCUUCCCGUGCAAAUCCUCCUCACCACUUAUUUACAUGGAAGGUGGCGCCUUGCUGUACAUUAACAUUGAAAACCAAACAGCCGGCCCAUCAGGAGCAUCGCUCUGAGGGAUGGCAACACAUUGCAAACAUCAAGAGGAAGGGAUGGAGAGAAAUCCUGCUUCAGCAGAAAGACCAUGACAAAAGUUAUGCUGCAAGCCCUGAUCUAAGCUGUAAAAGACCAUGGAUGGGAGAGGGCUGAAGUCUGACCAUCUGCAGAAGGUAGUGACCUGUGCCUGAAUCUCUACACUGACUGUGGAGCAGACCAGGACAGUCGAUGAAAACAACAAUUAAACCUGCCUGGGAUUUGCAAUUCCUGUAGCUGGGAGAGGAAUGACUCAUGCCAGCUGAUGCUCGGGUGUCUUCCUCGAGACACCACGAUCGGUGGCCUGUGGAUGGAGCAGGGCUGGGCUGCUUCUCACCCCUUGAGAGGUAUCUGCAUCUCAGGAUCUGACCCAAAGAAGAACAUGAAGGAUGCCCUGGAGAUCCUGCUAGAGACUGAAAAAUGGGAGCACCUUCCAAGAGCGCUUUGUGUCUUAGAGGGAGAGAAUCAACUUCCAACAGGAAAGGAAACCUCAGGUUUUUCGUUCAGCUUUCCUGUCUCUAAUACCAUCAGUUCCCAUUGAGACUGUUCAGUAACUAGCACCUUGGUGUGGCAAGGAAGACACAGAUCUGCUUGGCAGGUUCUCCUCUGAAUGCAGCCUUGCUGGGAUGGUGUCCUGAUAUUUGCACCUUUAUCAAGAUUUUAUUAUGGCAUAUUGAAGAAGGCUUCUUGCAGACCUUGGCAGAGAGAAAACUCAGGCAAAGGCUAACAAGAAUUGCCAUAUUAACUGCCCUGGCCACAGCAAAGGUGCUGCAGGGUGGAAUGUUUGAAAACAACUGGUGUGCUCUUAUACCAACACGACCUUUGAGAGUGCCAGGCCUGUAACUCAAGCAUUAAUAAUGGAUUACCAAAGUCAACCAGCUGCAAGGGAACCACUUCUCCCUGCUUAGAUAAUUCUCUUCCCUGAGAAGAAGAGCUAUCGAUUUUGAUACUGAUUCCUUCCUCCCCAGUGGAAGGGCUACACCCCACUGCCACUGCCUGUGACAGCGAGCUCUCUCCUGAUCUGCACACACAAAACACAUCAGCCACAUUAUUCUGCUCCAGGAACAGAGACAGCCCCCCAGGACCACUGAGACUGCCACUGAAGCUGUAUGCACUCUUAUUUCUCACCAGAAGAUUCAGCUUUGCUUUUCAGUGUUGGUUUCUCAUGAGACUGCAACAAGUAACUUCUCCAAGCAUCGUGAACCUGGCCAGAUCCCCAUUGACUUUACACUAUCCACAGCAUUAAGGAUAGGGAUGAAUAUCAGCUUUGAUCCACCACAUGCAACGCAAGCUGGUUGUGCAAACAUCCUCACACAUAAAUGUCUUUGCUUUGCUGUCUUCAUCUAUUCUGCUCUCCUGAGUCCACACUUGUGUCUGCAAUCCCUGGUCUGGCUGGAGGGAGGUAGAGGUUCAUAUUCAUGUUAAGGAAGUGUUAUAGUCAUGGACUGACCUGGAAAUCUGUCCAUUUGGUUUUUAGGCCAGCCUGAAACAGGAACCAUGUGCAAGUUUGUGGCGCCUUUAAAUAGAACCCUUCAUCUGUCUUCCAAAGAAAAAAGAUGUUUGCAGUCACACAGGUCUGUGUGUUCAUCUGGCACCUGUCUCUUCAUUGUGGGGACAUUUGAACUCAUUGGCCAGCUUUAACCACAUUUAGCUGUGGUUAAUAAAUGCGGUCUAAAAAGAUAUGAUGAAGUCAAAGCAGUCAGAUGUAACACCAAAGCCCUACUGACAGACUGAGACGGGGCAAGCCUGCGGCAUGUGUUCAACCUUAAUGAGACACUCGAGAAGGCACCUGGGAGAAGAAAGCCACUUAGAAAGCCCUGGGUGUGGGGCAUCUUCUAGUCUGAGUUCACACUUCUCCAGACAUCAGAGAAUCCUACUACAAGAAGCAAACCUGCAGGGAGUUGGGCUUCAUUACUUCCUCUGCUUGCUGAGUAACUUGUUUCCUUGGAUCAUCUUUCAUCUCUUUGCAGGCAUGAGCUGUGGAAACAAAGGGCUGGAUGCAUGACAGGAUUUAGGGUGCUGUUACAAAAUGGUGGGAGCAAGGGUCCUCUUUUAUCCGCAGCCCUGUGGGAAGCUGGCAGUGAUGACACAGCUGUGUGGAUAAGUGCUUAGCCCUUGGGCUGGGUGAGGGAGGUGGCACUUGGGCUGGUUGGGAAGGGGAAUCCUGGGGAUCCAGACCAAGAAAUAAACCCCCUCUUUUAUAGUAGAAACACCAAAAUGAGACAUUUGGAUAGUUUGAGUCUUGUUUGUGGAAAGAAGUCAGACUGAAUGAAUAGUUAAAAUAACUUCAUGGUACAAAUGCGAAGGAACCCCUGGAAUUUGCUAGUUUAGGGCAUAAAAAUUGUUUCUGGAAAAUACAAAGAAACAAAAAAACAAAACAAAAAAAACCCCCAAAACCAGAAAAACCCAAACCUACAAACCCAAACUUUUUACCUGCUACAAUAACCUGCUGACUGCUCGUUGUCUUGUCCUCUAUGGGAAGAACUUUAC
Long non-coding RNA from Melopsittacus undulatus (budgerigar), 3370 nucleotides. RefSeq lists it as uncharacterized. Lineage: Eukaryota; Metazoa; Chordata; Aves; Psittaciformes; Psittaculidae. The transcript is spliced from 7 exons. The record is from RefSeq and is a predicted model, not a curated record.